UAAAGUCGUACUAAAAGUAAAAAGUUUAUAAAAAUAGUAAUAUUAUUACAUAAAAAAGCCAAUUACUUAAAUUUAUUGUAUCAAUCCUCUAACGCAGUACAUAGAGUUCACAUUUUUAUUUCUCAUAAGAAGUUUUAAAAACUCAAAUAUCACUUUACACAAAUAUGACUGAAUAUAAAAUAAAAUGAUAAUACUGUACAGGUUGGCGAAAUCGAGAAUAAGACGACCUACAUAGAAGAAUGCGAGCUCAAUAACGCCUGGAGACUUCAACAGCCUCGUAGCAUUCGAGAGAGUUAGAAUUAUAGUCAAAAAUUAUAAUUAAUGAGUUUUAUGAUGCACUAAUGGAAAACGAAGGAGCUCAUUCAAAUCACAGUUUAACAUACAUGAACACUGAAGUUAAGCUGACGCCACAGAGAGAGAGAUGGGAACAUUGAUCGUUCAGCAAAUGGAAUCAUGUGUGACUAAUUCUCAAACCUUACCAAUGUGCAUUAAUUAAUUGCCGCCUAAACACUCGAUCACAUCAUCCCCAAUCAAUUAAUGUGUAAAGCUAUAAUAGUUGAUAUAAGUAUCAUUCUACUUCAUAAUGUUAUAGUUAUGAUACAUAAUGUAC
Molecule: long non-coding RNA, 610 nt
Organism: Daktulosphaira vitifoliae (grape phylloxera)
Lineage: Eukaryota; Metazoa; Arthropoda; Insecta; Hemiptera; Phylloxeridae
Exons: 4
Source: RefSeq, a predicted model, not a curated record